RNAcentral lists this ribosomal RNA (464 nucleotides) under uncultured bacterium. RNAcentral's name for it is "bacterial SSU rRNA". It matches the Rfam family "Bacterial small subunit ribosomal RNA", at positions 339 to 796 of the family's 1533-position model. The record is from RNAcentral.
UUACGGGAGGCAGCAGUGGGGAAUUUUGCGCAAUGGGCGAAAGCCUGACGCAGCAACGCCGCGUGUGUGAUGAAGGUCUUCGGAUUGUAAAGCACUUUCGACCGGGACGAAAACCCGCUGGCCAAUAUCCAGCGACUUGACGGUACCGGGAGAAGAAGCACCGGCUAACUCUGUGCCAGCAGCCGCGGUAAUACAGAGGGUGCAAGCGUUGUUCGGAAUUAUUGGGCGUAAAGCGCGUGUAGGCGGCUUUGCAAGUCGGGUGUGAAAGCCCUCGGCUCAACCGAGGAAGUGCGCCCGAAACUGCAGAGCUUGAGUACCGGAGAGGAUGGCGGAAUUCCCCAAGUAGAGGUGAAAUUCGUAGAUAUGGGGAGGAACACCGGUGGCGAAGGCGGCCAUCUGGACGGAUACUGACGCUGAGACGCGAAAGCGUGGGGAGCAAACAGGAUUAGAUACCCCUGUAGUCC